UACGGAGGAUGCGAGCGUUAUCCGGAUUUAUUGGGUUUAAAGGGUGCGUAGGCGGGAUGCCAAGUCAGCGGUAAAAAUGCGGUGCUCAACCUCGUCGAGCCGUUGAAACUGGGUGCCUUGAGUGGGCGAGAAGUACGCGGAAUGCGUGGUGUAGCGGUGAAAUGCAUAGAUAUCACGCAGAACUCCGAUUGCGAAGGCAGCGUACCGGCGCCCAACUGACGCUGAAGCACGAAGGCGUGGGUAUCGAACAGG
RNAcentral lists this ribosomal RNA (252 nucleotides) under uncultured bacterium. Its description in RNAcentral is "partial 16S ribosomal RNA". It matches the Rfam family "Bacterial small subunit ribosomal RNA", at positions 524 to 776 of the family's 1533-position model. The record is from RNAcentral.